Molecule: non-coding RNA, 1212 nt
Organism: Tetranychus urticae (two-spotted spider mite)
Lineage: Eukaryota; Metazoa; Arthropoda; Arachnida; Trombidiformes; Tetranychidae
Source: RefSeq, a predicted model, not a curated record
UUUGAGUUAAUUUUUGAAAACUGAAAAUGUUAAAUUACAAUGGUGUCUGUAGUUAAUAACAUUUCAUCUGAUUAAUCAAAAGUCUUAAUUAACAAAGCAAUAGCCCUUAAACUCAAAAACCUUAAACCCUUAAAAGUCUAACCGAAAGCAACAGACUUUCUGUCAAAUCCUUCAAUCUCUGGUUCAUUCCCAGGAUGGCUAAGCAACAAUAUUUCAAAACAUUGAUGACAAACUCAUGCUUUCUUUUCCCACCAAAAUCUUCAAAAUAAUCAACAUCUUUCGCUUUACACAAAAUAAAUGAGAAAAGGUUUUCAAAUCAAAAAAAUUUUAUUCAAUCAACUCUUAGAAAGUGGUUAAUGAAAGUUGCACAAAUAGUUGAUCUUAUACAAAAAAGCAUAGAAAGUAUUGUUCCAAAAGACUGAGGUAAGUAAAACUGAAAAGAUCUUGGGAAUAAUUCAAACAAACCUUACUAUUUCAGUUGAAUUUUAUUUAUGCAUAAAAUUUUCCAAGAGUAUAAUCCAUAGAUUAACCAUGUUUCCACCAGACUUUUUUGAAUCCAAAUCCUCCAUGUUUGAACUUUCCUCCAUGAAAAAAGGCCGGUUUGGGUCUAACAGGAAAGUGGACAAAAUGGACAGGCUUUUUGUAAAAAGGUUUCUUGACGAUGUAUUUAUGUUUAUAGAAGCCUCCUUCAAUGGUCACAAUAAGACACAAGAGAAAAGUGAAAGGUUAAAUGGUGACUUACCAGCAAGUUCAUUUUGGAUUAAUUGCGAUACCAGAUGGUAACAAAACUCACAGCAAGCACAAUAAUAGCCAAAUCAGCUCAACUCAACGAUUGACUUUUGUUUUUUGAAUGAACUUUUUGGAUGGAUGGACAGACCUUUUUAUACAUCUUUUUGGCAAACCAUUUUCACGUUAGUCCUUUUUUCUUGGCUCAAUGGUCAAUUAUACUGCAGCACAUCUUCAUCGCCAUUAUCAUCAUUAUCUCAAUUGAUUGGUGUGAAUGUUGAAAUAGAUGUUACACCAACAAGUCAAUUCAUCGAAAUUUUCCCAAGAAAAUUGGUUCCAUUUGAUUAAAUUGUACUUCUAUCACUAACCCAUUAUGCUGGUCAGUGUAUUGCUAGAGACAGUCAAGGUCUAAAAUCUUGAGAUAUUAUGAGUUAAUGUAAAUCAAACACUUGUACAAUAAAGAAAAACUUCUCAGAAUUUAUUAAA